GAUCAUGGCUCAGGAUGAACGCUAGCGGCAGGCUUAACACAUGCAAGUCGAGGGGUAUCACGCUUUCGGGCGUGAGAGACCGGCGCACGGGUGCGUAACGCGUAUACAAUCUACCUUUUACAGAGGGAUAGCCCAGAGAAAUUUGGAUUAAUACCUCAUAGUAUUUUCGAAUCGCAUGAUUUGAUUAUUAAAGUUCCAACGGUACAGGAUGGGCAUGCGUCCCAUUAGCUAGAUGGUAAGGUAACGGCUUACCAUGGCAACGAUGGGUAGGGGGCCUGAGAGGGUGGUCCCCCACACUGGUACUGAGACACGGACCAGACUCCUACGGGAGGCAGCAGUGAGGAAUAUUGGUCAAUGGGCGCAAGCCUGAACCAGCCAUGCCGCGUGCAGGAAGACGGUCCUAUGGAUUGUAAACUGCUUUUAUUUGGGAAUAAACCUAUUUACGUGUAGAUAGCUGAAGGUACCAAAUGAAUAAGCACCGGCUAACUCCGUG
RNAcentral lists this ribosomal RNA (493 nucleotides) under uncultured bacterium. Its description in RNAcentral is "bacterial SSU rRNA". It matches the Rfam family "Bacterial small subunit ribosomal RNA", at positions 15 to 507 of the family's 1533-position model. The record is from RNAcentral.